This 133-nucleotide ribosomal RNA is filed under the name uncultured bacterium. Its description in RNAcentral is "partial 16S ribosomal RNA". The record is from RNAcentral.
CGCCAUGUUAGAGCGUACCGUUUCGUUCCAGCUGAAAGAGCUUUACAACCCGAAGGCCUUCUUCACUCACGCGGAAUGGCUGGAUCAGGGUUUCCCCCAUUGUCCAAAAUUCCCCACUGCUGCCUCCCGUAGG